GAUGAACGCUGGCGGCGUGCCUAAUACAUGCAAGUCGAACGCUGGAGAUCUAGCUUGCUAGAUCGAAGGAGUGGCGAACGGGUGAGUAAUACAUAAGCAACCUACCCACGAAGACUGGGAUAAUCUCUGGAAACGGGGACUAAUACCGGAUGGGUAAUCGGAAGGCAUCUUCUGGUUAUUAAAGGUUAAAAACACUGGUGGAUGGGCUUAUGGCGCAUUAGUUAGUUGGUGAGGUAACGGCCCACCAAGACGAUGAUGCGUAGCCGGCCUGAGAGGGUGAACGGCCACAUUGGGACUGAGACACGGCCCAGACUCCUACGGGAGGCAGCAGUAGGGAAUUGUCGGCAAUGGGGGCAACCCUGACCGAGCAACGCCGCGUGAGUGAAGACGGCCUUCGGGUUGUAAAGCUCUGUUGUAAGGGAAGAACGGUAGAUAGAGAAUAUCUAAGUGACGGUACCUUACCAGAAAGCCACGGCUAACUACGUG
This 486-nucleotide ribosomal RNA is filed under the name uncultured bacterium. RNAcentral's name for it is "partial 16S ribosomal RNA". It matches the Rfam family "Bacterial small subunit ribosomal RNA", at positions 28 to 507 of the family's 1533-position model. The record is from RNAcentral.